Molecule: long non-coding RNA, 124 nt
Organism: Anopheles arabiensis
Lineage: Eukaryota; Metazoa; Arthropoda; Insecta; Diptera; Culicidae
Exons: 2
Source: RefSeq, a predicted model, not a curated record
CAUUCCUAUCUGUUGCAGCCGCUAAGGAUUGACGCUUUUAUUUACAGUUUUACGCUAGAAAAUUCGUUCACAGUUUAUCAUCAUUUGCUGUUAGAAAGUCAACAUCAGUUAUGGAUAUUUUACU